AAACUGCCCCAAGAUUCUAGAACAAGAGGGAAUAGUGGAGAUUGAUAGAAUCCACAGAUCACCUCCUGUACUUAAUACCCAACUGACAACACCCAGGAAUGUUAUAGCCAAAUUCAAGAACUAUCAGACCAAAGAAAAGAUAUUACAAGAUGCCAAGAAGAAGUCAUUCAGAUACCAAGGAACCACAGUGAGGAUAACUCAGGAUCUGGCUGCAUCCACACUGAAAAAAAAGAAAGGCAUAGAAUAUGAUAUUCUGGAAAGCAAGGGAACUGGGUCUACAACCAAGAAUCAACUACCCAGCAAAACUGACUAUAUUCUUACAGGGGAAAGUAUGGUCAUUCAACAAAAUAGAAGAAUUUCAAGAAUUCAUAAAGAAAAGACCAGACCUGAAUAGAAAAUUUGAUGUACAAGCACAGAACUCAAGAGAAUCAUCAAAAGGCUUUAUAGCUCCAGUUUCUUCUUCAGUAACAUGGUUUGAAGUUCCUUCACCAUCUUGUGUGAUCUUCUCAUGGACAGAAAAGUGUGUUAACGUCCCUCCUAAAGUAGGUAACCAGAAUUGGACCAGCACUAAAAAAAUAAAGAUGAUAAUGAUGAAUUUUAACAACUGGCAUUUUAUAACACUUUAAGGUUUCCAGA
This 636-nucleotide long non-coding RNA is filed under the name Monodelphis domestica (gray short-tailed opossum). RNAcentral's name for it is "lncRNA (ENSMODG00000050993.1)". Lineage: Eukaryota; Metazoa; Chordata; Mammalia; Didelphimorphia; Didelphidae. The record is from RNAcentral.